RNAcentral lists this long non-coding RNA (2517 nucleotides) under Homo sapiens (human). Its description in RNAcentral is "non-protein coding lnc-TEC-2:1". Lineage: Eukaryota; Metazoa; Chordata; Mammalia; Primates; Hominidae. The record is from RNAcentral.
AACGAGCUACAACCCUGUUACUUGCGCACGCCUCGAACCCCCAACUCCAGCUGACGUUCCCUCUGCCAAAGCAAGAAAACCACAAGUCGCCACAGGAGAGCGGACCCGGCUACACAAAGCGAGGCGCCCGACCAGAGGGACCCUCAGAGGACGCUCUCCGCCCCCGGGCCCGUCCCCGCCCAGCUCCUGCCCGGCGCCUCGCGCUCACCAGCUCUCCUCCUCCUCCUCCCAGCCUGACAGGCGCUCCAGCUCGUCGGGCCGCAGCGGCUCCACCUCGUCCAGCAAGCCGCCCUCGCCCGCCGCUAGCAAGGAGGUGGCGUCCCGCAGCUCUUCGCUACUCGUCCGCCUCGGGCCCGACCCGGGCCCGCCGCCCGACUUGGCGCUGAGGCCCAAGGGGAAGCCCCGAGGAGACGCCGCGCCGGAGGAGGGAAUGGACGCGCCGGCCCGAACCGGGCUGCCGGGCCCAAGGGAGCCGGCGCCCUGCACGGCCCCCGAGCGGCUCCUCAGCUGUUCGUUCUGCUUCUCCAGCUUCUUCACCAGCUCCUGCAGCUUCCGCACCUCCUGGUCCGCGUUCACGUUGGAGUUAACGUCCUCCAUCCCGGCCCCGCCGCCGCCGCCGCCUCCGCCGCCCGCUCGCUCUCGCAGCGACAGGGAAAGAGACGGAGGAAAGAGGCGUCGCCGCCGCUCACUCUAGCCGAGGCGCCGGCAUAUAGCAGGACCAGGCCCCACCGCCAGGGUCCCCCCACCUCGGGUUCCAAAGCGCCGCUGGCCCCAGCCGAACUGCCUCAUCUGCGCCGGCUCCGGGAUUGGGGGAGGCGGCGCCAAUAUCCGGCCCCUGCCGCCAUCUUCCCUCCGUCCCUCCGCCCCCCGCGGGCCGGCCCAGUCGGUGACCUCAGAGCGUCGGGGGUGGACGCGGCCGCCGGCGGGCGCUGAGAGGACCCGGCGCCAGCUCGCGGCGGGGCGGGGCCACGGACGGGGCCUAUGGGGCGGGGCCGGUGCUUGAGGGGCGGGGAUUAGGCCGGAAGGGGCGUGUCGGCGGAUGUGGGACGCGGCCGGGCUGGCUAGGGAGGGUCCCUGCAGAACGGGAGGCCAGCAGAAGGCUCGCGGCGGGCGGGGCUGAGGUGGCUAACAAGGUCCUCGAACAGCCUCGCCUGUUGGUCUGGGCGUGUGGGCGUGUUCUCCACCCCUUACAGGGAGUGUGGGACCCGCGGGCCAGUCUCGCCCUUGUUCCGGGCCGGAUCUCGAGUGGGCGCUCAGCCCGGCGGUGGAGAGACAGUUUACUUUGUUCAGCAAAUAUUUAAUCGAUGCCGACUUUUAAUUGGAGAUUGUCUCGGCUGGCAGGAGCCUCUAGACUGCCUGUGUCCUGUUUCUUCCCCUGAAAAUAAGAAACCCCAGUUUCAGACAGUUAAGAGAGGUCUAAGGUCAAAAUAAUCAUAAUUUCUUGAGUGCUUCCUACUGGCCAGACAGUGUGCUAAGCACUUUUAAAGGCAUUAUCUCAUCGGUUAAAACAUAGUUUUCCCGACUUAAAGUUUACAGCACACUGGGGCGGAAGCGGGGGAUAGUAAACCGCUUCUCUACUCCCUUUCUCCGUUUAUUGACUCACACUCUGUUCUUUGGAUCACUUCCUUCGGAAAAAGUUCCUCGUAGUGUGUCUUGACUUUUUUAAAAGUUGUAUGUUAAAAGUAGUUAAACACGCUGACAGAUACUGAAGAAUGAAGAAAAUUGUAAGAAUGUGAAGUCUGCCUUUAGAAUGCGGCAGGAAACCUAAACAAAACUUAAAUGCUUUGUUUUGAUCACAUUAUCACAGUCGUUGGUCUUCAGAGGUCAAUUGUGAACGGCUUUGGCUUGUGUUUGCAGCUUUUCUUCAGUUGCCGCCUCCACCCUUAGUUUAAUAACAAUGAUCCAGUCCUGUUACACCUGAGUGUGGACUCAUGCCAUGACUGACUUGCUUCUACCCUUUAGCUUUUCUAGUGCCAUAUUCUCCGCCUGCCAUAUCUGAUUCUUUUCUUAAAUCCCAUACUCUCUCAUUCAGGAAACCUCUUCCCAACAAUUCCACAAAGAUCUAAUUAUUCUGCAUAUUCUAGCACUACGUGAUCAAUAGUUCUCAAUAGGUGUUUGCACUUUUUUUUAAAUUGCUUUUUUCUCUAAGAAUUAUUUUUCGUUUGUUUUUGUCUGUUUACUUGAUUUAAGGACACUUCAUUUUUGCUUCCCAUGUCUAGUACACUGACACAGUGGACACUCAAUACUUGGUUUGUUGAAAGUUAAGUAGACUAUAAGUUCUACUUAAAACCACGUAGCUAUUUAUUCGUAGCAAAAAACGUAUUUGUGUUAAAAGUUUGCUGGCUAACUAUAAGUCGAGUAUUUUUCUAGCUAUACAGACCUAGUCAAAGGAUGUGAUUGUUUGCUAACAUAAUUGUCAAGUAAUAUAUAUUAUCUGUGUAAUGCUCAUCUAAAUAUCAUUGCUCUUUCUGACCAGUCUGAACUUGUUGCCGGAGGGUUAAAAAUCAUGACUACUUC